GAGGAAACGGCCUGAACCGACUUGAAAGUUGUGUGAGAGAAAGAAGAAUCCUGCUCUUGAGACCUCAUUGUCUUUCUUGCACAAGAGGUAUUCCUUUUAUUUUUCUUUAUUUCAUUUUUCCAUUUCAUUUGCCUUCAAGGCAUUAUGUAGAGUUCAAAAAGCAUGUGCUGCAUGCCGAUUGAAUGUUUGUGAGUUGGGGAGUGGGAAGCUUUCUGCAGGAAACGUUUAACUUGAAAACAGUAUUGUCAUUUCUUAUACGCGUUAGCUUGGUAUUAUGCUUCUGGUAAACAGUUUUAGAAUUACUUAUGAAGGUACUUGAAUGAAUGCCUUAGCACAUUUUAAAUUAUUUACCAACUUUAAAUAAUAUGUAUGACAGAGAAUAGUGAACAACUAGCAAAUCAAUAGCAAAGCAAGUUAUAAAUUUAGUGUGGCGCACAAAACACAUCAACUCAGAAAUGUAUAAAUGGAAGUUCUAGGCUAGAAACAUGAAGCUCAAAAGCAGAACUAACCAUAUCACCCAAAAGUGAUUAUGAUUGGCACUGGAGCAGAAACCCAAUAGAUCUAAUGGGGAAUAUUAAUUUGUGGAAGUGGUGUUUGUUUUGAGCUAGCGCUAACUCUCCUUUCAUAUAUAAGGCUGUCUUCUAGGUUAGUGCCUUUCAGAAUUAACACACAGUAUUAUGUACUGCUGCUAAUUAUUCCAAGUUGAAUUUGCAAGCAUUCACUUUGGUCUUUUCAUCUCUUCGCAUCUCCUAAGCAGAAUGACAUCCCGCUCUAACAGCGUCUCCCUGAAGUAAAAGCCCCAAGAAGGUCAGAAGAAAAACAAAGCAUGUUAGCCUAAACGAAAAUGAAGAUAGGGAAUUAAGGAAUCGCUUUCUUUAAAAACAACAGCCUUGCAGCUUAAGCUGUAACAGACAUGAAAGAGCAAGAGAACAAGAUGUUCACCUAUGUAUUUACGAAG
Molecule: non-coding RNA, 958 nt
Organism: Podarcis lilfordi (Lilford's wall lizard)
Lineage: Eukaryota; Metazoa; Chordata; Lepidosauria; Squamata; Lacertidae
Source: the annotation of a GenBank genome assembly